This is a non-coding RNA of Lonchura striata (white-rumped munia), 499 nucleotides long. Lineage: Eukaryota; Metazoa; Chordata; Aves; Passeriformes; Estrildidae. The record is from RefSeq and is a predicted model, not a curated record.
CCUCCUACAUCUCAUUAGAGAGCUCUCAUGUUCCAAAACACCACCGAUGCCUCCAGCUCUGUAACUCCCUCUGUACCAGGAGAAAUCUGUGGUUCCAGAACAUUUUUCUGGAUUUUUUUAUUCCAAAUCAGAGGGGUUGGCAGGGUUGGGCAGCCUGUGCUGUCCCAGAGCUCCCACAUGCAGCACUCAGGGUUUUUCCAGCCUCCAUCUGCCUGGCUGCAGGCACGUUCCUGUUCAGGGCUUCUUACACAUUGCAGAUGUUCCAGCUAAAUGUCAGCGUGCUCAGAAUCUGCAGGUUUGCCUUUUUAUUAUGAAUAUUGUGAUGAGGUGUGACAGGGUGGGGAAUGUGGAAAAUACUGGAGGUGCAUGUGGAUGUAAGUGUGGAGGAACAUUCUGGAAAUCAGUCAGCCUCAAACUAUGUAUCUAAAUGUAAUGAGCAGAUUUCUUGAAGUUGUACUUUGGAUCAUUUUUAAAAUAAAUGCACCAUUUUCUUUAGCAA